GGCGAACGCUGGCGGCGUGCUUAACACAUGCAAGUCGAACGGAAAGGCCCUGCUUUUGUGGGGUGCUCGAGUGGCGAACGGGUGAGUAACACGUGAGUAACCUGCCCUUGACUUUGGGAUAACUUCAGGAAACUGGGGCUAAUACCGGAUAGGAGCUCCUGCUGCAUGGUGGGGGUUGGAAAGUUUCGGCGGUUGGGGAUGGACUCGCGGCUUAUCAGCUUGUUGGUGGGGUAGUGGCUUACCAAGGCUUUGACGGGUAGCCGGCCUGGGAGGGUGACCGGCCACAUUGGGACUGGGAUACGGCCCAGACUCCUACGGGAGGCAGCGGUGGGAAAUAUUGCACAAUGGGCGGAAGCCUGAUGCAGCAACGCCGCGUGCGGGAUGACGGCCUUCGGGUUGUAAACCGCUUUCGCCUGCGACGAAGCGUGAGUGACGGUAAUGGGUAAAGAAGCACCGGCUAACUACGUG
This 468-nucleotide ribosomal RNA is filed under the name uncultured bacterium. RNAcentral's name for it is "partial 16S ribosomal RNA". It matches the Rfam family "Bacterial small subunit ribosomal RNA", at positions 28 to 507 of the family's 1533-position model. The record is from RNAcentral.